CAGCCCUUGACAUCCCGGUCGCGGAUUACAGAGAUGUUUUCCUUCAGUUCGGCUGGACCGGAGACAGGUGCUGCAUGGCUGUCGUCAGCUCGUGUCGUGAGAUGUUGGGUUAAGUCCCGCAACGAGCGCAACCCUCGCCCUUAGUUGCCAGCAUUCAGUUGGGCACUCUAAGGGGACUGCCGGUGAUAAGCCGAGAGGAAGGUGGGGAUGACGUCAAGUCCUCAUGGCCCUUACGGGCUGGGCUACACACGUGCUACAAUGGUGGUGACAGUGGGCAGCGAGCGAGCGAUCGUGAGCUAAUCUCCAAAAGCCAUCUCAGUUCGGAUUGCACUCUGCAACUCGAGUGCAUGAAGUUGGAAUCGCUAGUAAUCGCGGAUCAGCAUGCCGCGGUGAAUA
Molecule: ribosomal RNA, 396 nt
Filed under: uncultured bacterium
Lineage: Bacteria
Description: bacterial SSU rRNA
Rfam family: Bacterial small subunit ribosomal RNA
Source: RNAcentral